GAGUUUGAUCCUGGCUCAGGAUGAACGCUGGCGGCGUGCCUAAUACAUGCAAGUCGAACGCGCAGCGAGAGGUGCUUGCACCUUUCAAGCGAGUGGCGAACGGGUGAGUAACACGUGGAUAACCUGCCUCAAGGCUGGGGAUAACAUUUGGAAACAGAUGCUAAUACCGAAUAAAACUUAGUAUCGCAUGAUAUCAAGUUAAAAGGCGCUACGGCGUCACCUAGAGAUGGAUCCGCGGUGCAUUAGUUAGUUGGUGGGGUAAAGGCUUACCAAGACGAUGAUGCAUAGCCGAGUUGAGAGACUGAUCGGCCACAUUGGGACUGAGACACGGCCCAAACUCCUACGGGAGGCUGCAGUAGGGAAUCUUCCACAAUGGGCGCAAGCCUGAUGGAGCAACGCCGCGUGUGUGAUGAAGGCUUUCGGGUCGUAAAGCACUGUUGUAUGGGAAGAAAUGCUAAAAUAGGGAAUGAUUUUAGUUUGACGGUACCAUACCAGAAAGGGACGGCUAAAUACGUGCCAGCAGCCGCGGUAAUAAGGGCGA
This 541-nucleotide ribosomal RNA is filed under the name uncultured Leuconostoc sp. RNAcentral describes it as "bacterial SSU rRNA". It matches the Rfam family "Bacterial small subunit ribosomal RNA", at positions 9 to 532 of the family's 1533-position model. Lineage: Bacteria; Bacillati; Bacillota; Bacilli; Lactobacillales; Lactobacillaceae. The record is from RNAcentral.